Molecule: ribosomal RNA, 253 nt
Filed under: uncultured bacterium
Lineage: Bacteria
Description: partial 16S ribosomal RNA
Rfam family: Bacterial small subunit ribosomal RNA
Source: RNAcentral
UACGUAGGGUGCGAGCGUUGUCCGGAAUUACUGGGCGUAAAGAGCUCGUAGGUGGUUUGUCGCGUUGUCCGUGAAAACUCACAACUCAAUUGUGGGCGUGCGGGCGAUACGGGCAGACUGGAGUACUGCAGGGGAGACUGGAAUUCCUGGUGUAGCGGUGAAAUGCGCAGAUAUCAGGAAGAACACCCGUGGCGAAGGCGGCUCUCUGGGACGGUACUGACGCUGAGACGCGAAAGCGUGGGGAGCGAACAGG